RNAcentral lists this ribosomal RNA (498 nucleotides) under uncultured bacterium. RNAcentral describes it as "partial 16S ribosomal RNA". It matches the Rfam family "Bacterial small subunit ribosomal RNA", at positions 28 to 507 of the family's 1533-position model. The record is from RNAcentral.
GACGAACGCUGGCGGCGUGCCUAAUACAUGCAAGUCGAGCGGACGAAUCGAAAGCUUGCUUUUGAUUCGUUAGCGGCGGACGGGUGAGUAACACAUGGGCAACCUGCCCUGUAGACGGGGAUAACACCGAGAAAUCGGUGCUAAUACCGGAUAACACGAAAUGUCGCAUGACGUUUCGUUGAAAGACGGCGCAAGCUGCCGCUACAGGAUGGGCCCGCGGCGCAUUAGCUAGUUGGUGAGGUAACGGCUCACCAAGGCGACGAUACGUAGCCGACCUGAGAGGGUGAUCGGCCGCACUGGGACUGAGACACGGCCCAGACUCCUACGGGAGGCAGCAGUAGGGAAUCUUCCGCAAUGGACGAAAGUCUGACGGAGCAACGCCGCGUGAGCGAAGAAGGCCUUCGGGUCGUAAAGCUCUGUUGUUAGGGAAGAACAAGUAACGCAGUAACUGGCGUUACCGUGACGGUACCUAACGAGAAAGCCACGGCUAACUACGUG